CCAGGGAAUUGCUGUGCCUCAUUUGCCUAAAUGAUUCACUCUCAGACCCAUGAGACUUUCCCUUCCCCCAAAAGAAUGUUUCUCUGCAGAGAGGUCGAUGAAAUUUACUGACUGAGGGUAAAUGCUCCAUCUGUGGGGGGAGCGCCGGGCAGAAAUCUCUGAGAGACUGUACUGAGAUAAAGGACAUGGAUCUUCCAGCUAGUUCUCCAAAAGAAAAGACUCCAGCUUAUGAAAAUGUGGGCUGAUGUCGCCUGCAAGCAGCUUCAAGAGGUCAAACUACACUGAAGCCCAGUAAAGAUUCUGUGGCUGAAUUUUUUUCAAGCUACUUCCACUGCAGAAUAGAAACAGGAUAUUUAACAGCUCCGGGCAUUUUUGAGCCAAGGUCUUAUUGCUGCAUAUAUAGGAUUCUGCUGCCGGCAUCAGUGACUGAGCAGCUGCAGGGAUGUUCUUUUCCUCCGUGUGACAUUGAUAAAUGACCUGCAGGAAUGCUUAACAAGGUUUGGAAUAU
Molecule: non-coding RNA, 508 nt
Organism: Pogona vitticeps (central bearded dragon)
Lineage: Eukaryota; Metazoa; Chordata; Lepidosauria; Squamata; Agamidae
Source: RefSeq, a predicted model, not a curated record